CUUUGUCAUUUGAAUAGGUAUUUGUUCUCAUAUUACAUUUCAUUAAUCUUGCUAGUAGUAGUACUACAGCUGGUUUAUUACAAAUGCAAAAGGUAACUGUUAUCCAGUAUUGUUUUUUCACUGACAUCUGUUCCUGUAAAUUAUUAAAUUGUUCAGAUCAAUUUUGUUUUGGAGGACCCAGACAUUUUGUACAAAUUGAUGAAAGCUGUAUUUCUAAGAGAAACACAACCAUGGUCAAGUCAUUCCUAGUUCAGAAAAAUGGGUCCUUGGAAUGUGUGAUUGCCAGUUAAAAAGAGGAUUUGUUAUUUAUCUUUAAAAUUGUACUGCUGAUGUCAUAAUUCAAAAGAUUGUACAUCAUCAAGCCAGAAACUGAAAUUUGGAGAGAUAUAUUUGCUUCAUAUUCUUCAAUGUCCCCAAUAAAUUGGGGACAUUGGGAGAUGUUUCUCCAUACAUUCGUCACACUGUGAAUCAUUCACAAAAUUUUGCUAAUCCUGUAAUGGGAGUGUGUACAAAUGCAGUAGAAAGUUAUUGGUCUUGACUGAAGACAUUUCUUCGUUGUUUGGUAGUUAUACAAUCAAUACAUCUUCCAAAAUACAUAGGCAUUUUGUGAUAUCAAACCUUUAAAGACCCAAGUGUUUCUUUACUCGGGUCUUUAAAGAUUUCCAAAAGACCCAAGCGAGUUUGUUUCCAAAAUUUUUAGAACAUUUGAAAGAAAAAUAUCGUGUGUAGUCAUUCUGUAGCAUUAUACAAACCUAUUACUUGAAGGUCUUAUUUACAUCAAAAAAGGCCAUUUUCAUGGCCAUGAAAGCCAUGGCUAUAAAAAGGUUGUUUUCAUGACCAUUUCCUCCUUCAAAUCCUGUAUACUGCCUCAUUGUGGCAAAGGGGUGUUCCUGUGUUUAAUGUUCAUAGAUAUAAUUAAAUCAAUGACUUAUUGUUAGUAUUUUAUUUUAUCCAGCUAAAGUAUACAGAUUAAUAUAAUUUAUCAAAAUAGCACAUGAAAGAAGCAUUAACUAAUGAACAAUCAUUAGAUAUUGAAUUAUAUUGAAAC
This 1048-nucleotide long non-coding RNA is filed under the name Androctonus crassicauda. The record is from RNAcentral. Lineage: Eukaryota; Metazoa; Arthropoda; Arachnida; Scorpiones; Buthidae.